This 502-nucleotide ribosomal RNA is filed under the name uncultured bacterium. RNAcentral describes it as "partial 16S ribosomal RNA". It matches the Rfam family "Bacterial small subunit ribosomal RNA", at positions 30 to 523 of the family's 1533-position model. The record is from RNAcentral.
AUUGAACGCUGGCGGCAGGCUUAACACAUGCAAGUCGAGCGGGGUGAUGGUGCUUGCACUAUCACUUAGCGGCGGACGGGUGAGUAAUGCUUAGGAAUCUGCCUAUUAGUGGGGGACAACAUCUCGAAAGGGAUGCUAAUACCGCAUACGUCCUACGGGAGAAAGCAGGGGAUCACUUGUGACCUUGCGCUAAUAGAUGAGCCUAAGUCGGAUUAGCUAGUUGGUGGGGUAAAGGCCUACCAAGGCGACGAUCCGUAGCGGGUCUGAGAGGAUGAUACGCCACACUGGGACUGAGACACGGCCCAGACUCCUACGGGAGGCAGCAGUGGGGAAUAUUGGACAAUGGGGGGAACCCUGAUCCAGCCAUGCCGCGUGUGUGAAGAAGGCCUUAUGGUUGUAAAGCACUUUAAGCGAGGAGGAGGCUCUUUUGGUUAAUACCAAGAUGAGUGGACGUUACUCGCAGAAUAAGCACCGGCUAACUCUGUGCCAGCCGCCGCCGUAA